Molecule: small RNA, 110 nt
Organism: Vibrio cholerae O1
Lineage: Bacteria; Pseudomonadati; Pseudomonadota; Gammaproteobacteria; Vibrionales; Vibrionaceae
Rfam family: Qrr RNA
About the family: This family represents a set of small RNAs (the Qrr RNAs) that are thought to be involved in the regulation of quorum sensing in Vibrio species. It is believed that these RNAs, guided by a protein, Hfq, can mediate the destabilisation of the quorum-sensing master regulators LuxR/HapR mRNAs.
Source: Rfam
UGACCCUUAAUUAAGCCGAGGGUCACCUAGCCAACUGACGUUGUUAGUGAAUGAAAUUGUUCACAUUUGUUUUAUCAGCCAAUCACCCUUUUGUGAUUGGCUUUUUUCUU